This 5206-nucleotide small RNA is filed under the name Pongo abelii (Sumatran orangutan). RNAcentral's name for it is "retained intron". The record is from RNAcentral. Lineage: Eukaryota; Metazoa; Chordata; Mammalia; Primates; Hominidae.
GGCGGCGGCGGCGGCAGCAGCGGCCGAGGCGGGGCUGCACGUCUCGGCACUGGGCCCGCACCCGCCCGCCGCGCAUCUGCGCUCGCUCAAGAGCCUGGAGCCCGAGGACGAGGUGGAGGACGACCCCAAGGUGACGCUGGAGGCCAAGGAGCUGUGGGACCAGUUCCACAAGCUAGGCACGGAGAUGGUCAUCACCAAGUCCGGGAGGCGGAUGUUCCCCCCCUUCAAGGUGCGAGUCAGCGGCCUGGACAAGAAGGCCAAAUACAUCCUGCUGAUGGACAUUGUGGCCGCUGACGAUUGCCGCUAUAAGUUCCACAACUCGCGCUGGAUGGUGGCGGGCAAGGCCGACCCUGAGAUGCCCAAACGCAUGUACAUCCACCCAGACAGCCCAGCCACGGGGGAGCAGUGGAUGGCCAAGCCUGUGGCCUUCCACAAGCUGAAGCUGACCAACAACAUCUCUGACAAGCACGGCUUCACCAUCCUAAACUCCAUGCACAAGUACCAGCCGCGCUUCCACAUAGUGCGAGCCAACGACAUCCUGAAGCUGCCGUACAGCACCUUCCGCACCUACGUGUUCCCGGAGACCGACUUCAUCGCCGUCACUGCCUACCAGAAUGACAAGAUCACACAGCUGAAGAUCGACAACAACCCGUUUGCCAAGGGCUUCCGGGACACCGGGAACGGCCGGCGGGAGAAAAGGAAGCAGCUGACGCUGCCGUCUCUGCGCUUGUACGAGGAGCACUGCAAACCCGAGCGCGAUGGCGCGGAGUCGGACGCCUCGUCGUGCGACCCUCCUCCAGCGCGGGAACCACCCACCUCCCCGGGCGCAGCGCCCAGUCCCCUGCGCCUGCACCGCGCCCGAGGUGAGGGUCGGACCGGAGGAUGGAGAGGGAGGUGGGGGCGGGGGGGGUGGUCCUCAGGUCGCUGGGCUGGUCUUUUGCUGAGCUACCCGCUAAUCUGAAAGGCCAGGAAGGAAACGGGUUUCUGUCCCGGGACUCCCCUACGAGGGCGGUGCCCGGUAGCCAGAAGAUCCGGCCGGACUCCGAACCUGGCCCCUUGGGCGCCGUGUAAUUCUAUGGCUGUAGGGUUUCCUCUCCACGGCUGGGUUCCUUCCACUGUAAAUCUGGGGUCUUGGAUUAGGUGACCUGCAGCUGCCCCUUGCCCGACUCCAGCAGCUCCUCCGACUAGGCCUCCCCGAGAGCAGCCCUUCCCGAGUGUCCCUGAUCCUGCUCAUCGGCCUCCGCCCAGGCCCCUGUAAUCCGCGUGCCCUCUCCCCGCAGCUGAAGAGAAGUCGUGCGCCGCGGACAGCGACCCGGAGCCUGAGAGGUUGAGCGAGGAGCGUGCGGGGGCGCCGCUAGGCCGCAGCCCUGCUCCAGACAGCGCCAGCCCCACUCGCUUGACCGAACCUGAGCGCGCCGGGGAGCGGCGCAGUCCCGAGAGGGGCAAGGAGCCGGCCGAGAGCGGCGGGGACGGCCCGUUCGGCCUGCGGAGCCUGGAGAAGGAGCGCGCAGAAGCUCGGAGGAAGGACGAGGGACGCAAGGAGGCUGCCGAGGGCAAGGAGCAGGGCCUGGCGCCGCUGGUGGUGCAGACAGACAGUGCGUCCCCCCUGGGCGCCGGACACCUGUCCGGCCUGGCCUUUUCCAGCCACUUGCACGGGCAGCAGUUCUUCGGGCCGCUGGGAGCCGGCCAGCCGCUCUUCCUGCACCCUGGACAGUUCACCAUGGGCCCUGGCGCCUUCUCCGCCAUGGGCAUGGGUCACCUGCUGGCCUCGGUGGCAGGCGGCGGCAACAGCGGAGGUGGCGGGCCUGGGACCGCCGCGGGGCUGGACGCAGGCGGGCUGGGUCCCGCGGCCAGCGCAGCAAGCACCGCCGCACCCUUCCCGUUCCACCUCUCCCAGCACAUGCUGGCAUCUCAGGUAAGGCCUGUGACCCCGCGGCAGCGCCAGCGAGGGAGAAGGCCCAGGGAGCUGGCGGCGAAGCCAGCGGAGGGCCCGAGGGUUCCAGGGUCGCUGGGAGCCUCUGGCAGGCAAGAACUCCAUCCAGGGGAGGCCCCCGGAUGCCCUUUGGGACACCUGGGUUCUGAGAGACGAGGACUGUGUUGUAAGUCCAGGGGCUGGCCAGGGUGCCGCUUCUGACUCCCGUGUGACCUUUGGCAAGUCCCUGACCCUCUCUGGGCCUGCUUCCUUCCCUAUAGCCCCAGCGAGGAGUGCGGUGCCCAUCGAGACUCUUCUGACCCUCACAGACCAGGGCCACCCCUGGCUUGUGAAGUCUUCUCUCCUGGCCUCAGGACAUUUUUCUUGAGAACAAAGACCCUUGGCUCCCUGUCCAUUCUGAAAGGCUAAGGUGGCCAGACAGACAAAAGGGAGGAGGAACAUUUGCAUUAUUUUCUGGACAGUUGACCAUCAGCCCUCCCAGAGGUCUCUGGCCCCUCCCAGACCUUCUAUGAAGUCCUCUGUCCUGGCAAAGGACAAGGCUGGUCUCUCCCCUACCGUGAGUUCCCAGCACCCCCAGCCACAUGUCAGGGAUGAGAACUCAGCUCCUCAGGCCCCAUUGAAAUUCCGAGCUCCCAGGGGAGUGUUAAUGAAAAUGUGGCUGGGGCACAGUAAGGAGAUCCGAUGCGGACAGUAGCCUCUUUGGUUGCUUGGGUGGAAUAUUCCCUGUGGAAAGAUUUGGAAUCUCUUCAUUCAUUUUCUUCCCUCUGAGGUUUCUGGCAAAUUGAACCCCUGAGAUCUUAUCUCAAGGGAAGGAAAAUAGCAGUUCAGGUCUGAGAAAGCUCCUUUGCUUCAGAAGCAAAUAUUUUAAAAGUUGGGUUGGUGGGGAGGGUUGGGAGGCAGGCGAUUCUGAAACGAGUUUUACACACAGCUCAGUGUAAGGGUGUGUGGAGUGUUUGAGGUAUCACCAUCACUCAUCUGGGGCUCUGGGCUGGAAGGGAAGCCUCUGGAGAAAGUUCAGGGCCCAGAGGUUUAAUCUGCACCCCUGAUUAUUUGUGUAUGUGAAUGCCUCCUCCCCAGACAAACUGGUAAUGAUCACCAGCAUCACAGAGGUCAUGAGGAAGUCAGGGCUUCUAGACACAGCCUGGCCAACAGGUGCAUGGCCUGGGUGAGAAUACCAGCACCUGGGAGGUAUCCGUUGGUAGGGCUGCUGGUAGUUACAUUCCCAGGCCAGUGCAGCCCAUCCCAGACAUCAGGUAGAGCCAAAUCCCAAGAGAACUGAAGCCUCCCUCCUUCCUCCCAACCUGGGAUGCCAGAUCUGAAAUGCCCAGUAGGACCUGACACUCUCAGGAGGGGGUAUUUUCUCAGGCCUGAUGAAGCUGCCUCUUUUCUUCUUCCUGCUUGAGCCAGGCCUGAGGCUCCCUGGGAGCCCAGCGCAAUCAUCAGCCCCCUGCCCUCCUCCCCAUACCCACUGGCUCUGGGGAGUAAGACAUUAUCUCAAAGGUCAGGCCGUGCACCAGCCAGACCUCAUGAACUCAGGAAGGUGCUUGUCCAGGAGUUCCUGGCUGCUGUGCCCUUCACAGGCAAAGACUGCAUUCCUUCCUCAGCUGCCAGUGAGGUGCUGCCAGGCGUUCCCUGUAGAACUUUCAGGCCAGUUUAUGAACUGGUUGGCACCUGUGUCCUCCUCCUGGCCCAGGCAGGAGAACCGUGAGCAGGCAGAAGGAGACUUUGCAAAGUGCCUUCCCCAGCGUGUGUGCCCUCUGCCCUUCAGAGCCUGCAGAUAGGAGGGGUGGCGAGGACACUGUUCUCAAUGAGCAGAACCUCCAAGACACCCAAAGCUGCCUGUUUGCCACCUGGCCCUAUGCCUGCCCCGUUUUCUCCCUCAAAGCCUUCACCCAUGCUAGUGCAGUCACCUGGAAUGUCCCUUCCAUUACCCCUGCUGUAAUGCCCAGCACAGAACUUGAUGGCAGGCCUUUGCAUGGUAGCCUGAAGCGAUCUCACCCUUCUAACUGGGUUUGGCGACAGGAACACUGGCUCAUGCUUACCUGUGCUGCCUGUGGUUAUAGUUAUGCGAGUUGUGGUUUUACAUCUCUAAAACAGCAGGGCACUGUGUCCAGGGGAUAGAUAGCACCACCCCAGCACCCAGCCCACCUUCAGAAAGACUUCAGGAAAGAUGUCUAACCCUUGUCUUGUUCUGUUUCUUCCAGGGAAUUCCAAUGCCCACUUUCGGAGGCCUCUUCCCCUACCCCUACACCUACAUGGCAGCAGCAGCCGCAGCCGCCUCGGCUUUGCCCGCCACUAGUGCUGCAGCUGCCGCCGCCGCAGCCGCCGGCUCCCUGUCCCGGAGCCCCUUCCUGGGCAGUGCCCGGCCCCGACUGCGUUUCAGCCCCUAUCAGAUCCCGGUCACCAUCCCGCCUAGCACUAGCCUCCUCACCACCGGGCUGGCCUCCGAGGGCUCCAAGGCUGCUGGCGGAAACAGCCGGGAGCCUAGCCCCCUGCCCGAGCUGGCUCUCCGCAAAGUAGGGGCCCCAUCCCGCGGUGCCCUGUCGCCCAGUGGCUCGGCCAAGGAGGCGGCCAAUGAACUGCAGAGCAUCCAGAGACUGGUGAGUGGGCUGGAGGGCCAGCGAGCCCUCUCCCCAGGCCGGGAGUCGCCCAAGUGAGGGGCUGCCCAGCUGCUCCCCUGCCACGCAGGCCACCCGGGCUGCCUGCCCCUGCUGCUUGGGACGUGUACAGCACAGAAUGGGUAUUUAUUUAAAUAAAGGAGAAAAGUGGGCUGCAGCAGCCGGAAUAGAGCCUCGUCUGGCAAGUUGGGGCCUGGGACACUUCCCUGGGCCUCAACAAGGAUCAGGCUGCUGGAAACGCAGUCACUUGGGAGCUGCUGGGCUAGGUCCAGAUCCGCUCCAGCGUCAAGGUGGCAUCCGAAGGUGUCUCUGGUCUUCCAGCGAGGUGGGAGAGGCCUCAUCCAGGGCCCAGCGGUCCCUGCAGAAGCCAGAAGGUGCAGGGGCCAGGGGUGGGAGCAUCGGAGGGAGUCCCAGAGCCCUGGACCUUGGGCCUAGACCGCGUGAGAAAACUGGGUUGAGGGAGGCUGGAACCAGUUACGACUGAAGUCAGUGUAGACCUGAGCUGGGAGGGAACCUGUUAGUCUCCCCACCUCUUCCCUGAAGAGACAGGCACCCCUCCCAGCCGUGGUCAACGGAGGGAGUGGCCCUUCUGCCUUGAGUCCCCAGGGGGAAAAAAAAAGAUAUUUAUGAAAUAAAUGGUAAUUUGUGUAAAUAA